GAAAUAUUAACUGUUUCAUUUAAAUUUUUUUUAGAAUUUUAUUUUUUAGUCAAAAAGCUAAAAUAAAUUUAAAAGACGAGAAGACCCUAUAAAUCUUCAUAUUUUAUUUAUUUUAAUUAUAAAGAUUAUUUUUGUUAUAAUAAAUUAAAAUAUUUUAUUGGGGUGAUAUUAAAAUUUAAAAAACUUUUAAUUUUUAAAACCAUUAAUUUAUGAAUAAUUGAUCCAUUAAUAAUGAUUAAAAAUUUAAGUUACUUUAGGGAUAACAGCGUAAUUUUUUUGGAGAGUUCAUAUCGAUAAAAAAGAUUGCGACCUCGAUGUUGGAUUAAGAUAUAAUUUUGGGUGUAGCCGUUCAAAUUUUAAGUCUGUUCGACUUUUAAAUUCUU
RNAcentral lists this ribosomal RNA (383 nucleotides) under Drosophila prolaticilia. Its description in RNAcentral is "partial 16S ribosomal RNA". The stretch from base 259 to 383 matches the Rfam family "Bacterial large subunit ribosomal RNA", at positions 2473 to 2597 of the family's 2925-position model. Lineage: Eukaryota; Metazoa; Arthropoda; Insecta; Diptera; Drosophilidae. The record is from RNAcentral.